This is a microRNA precursor of Danio rerio (zebrafish), 129 nucleotides long. Ensembl annotates it as microRNA let7a-6. Its record names the gene mirlet7a-6. The record is from Ensembl. Lineage: Eukaryota; Metazoa; Chordata; Actinopteri; Cypriniformes; Danionidae.
CACAGUGAACCUGUGUGUUUCUUCAAGGUGAGGUAGUAGGUUGUAUAGUUUGUGGGAAGGAUCACAUCCUAUUCAGGUGAUAACUAUACAGUCUAUUGCCUUCCCUGAGAGACACAAUGACCACGAGUG